Long non-coding RNA from Mus musculus (house mouse), 3359 nucleotides. RefSeq annotates it as predicted gene, 52235. The record is from RefSeq and is a predicted model, not a curated record. Lineage: Eukaryota; Metazoa; Chordata; Mammalia; Rodentia; Muridae. The transcript is spliced from 2 exons.
GAAACACAUGAGAAAUGUGAUCUCUUAGCUUUUACAUUUUCAAAACAAAGGAUCAUGGUGGUUUAUCUCAAAGACUGGAAAAUAAACAUAAAAGACUAAUCAGCAAGACCAUGGGAGAAAAUAUGAAUAUAAAAACCCUUGGAGCUCGGCAGCAGAGAAUACGUUUGUGGAGGUCGUCAUUCUGAUGUCAGAUACUACCAUCAAACUCCUUCCAGGUGUUCAUCCUAUCAAAAGGACUCACUUCCCAGGAGGAAAGAAGACUGUGGAGGAGCUUGGGGACCAACUGAUAGUCCCAAAGUGGGUGGCUCUUGAACCGUGACUGAGAGAAAAGGGGACAGAGUGAGCAAUCCAGUUCAUACUCCCAUAAGUUACAUGCACCACCACCCACAGGACUUAUGAGAGGGUUGGGGGGAUUGCUCAAAUGCUUGCCACACAAAUAUGAAAACCUCCCUCACACCAGGUAGGCACUUACAAUGCUAAUGCUGGAAGGUAGGGGCAGGAGUACUACUGGGAUUCUCUGGCCAGCCAAAUAGCUGAAUCAGAGAGAUCCAGGUUGAGUUAGAGACCCUGUCCAACAAUCAAACAACAACUCCAAGAAUACAAAUAAACACACACGCACACACACACACACACACACACACACACACACACACACUAUUACUAAAGAUUCACAUGACAUAAGCCCCUCCAUGAGUUCUCACUGUGCAUUCAUGUCUACCUUUUCCCAUUGGUAACAUGUGCAGGAAGGAUGAUAUCAAAAGGGAAAGAGGUGCCCCCCAAAAGCAAGGAACAGGGCAGCAAACUGAUCAUCGUGUAUUGACUGGAACUAAGAUAAUGUUAAAAAUAUGACAGUUAGUUGGGGAAAGAUCGGUUAAAAUCCAUCAAGGCACUGGAAGACUACAGAACUUCUAAUCAUGGCCAUCUAUGUGUCAUUGGGCAUCUGAGAUGUCAACACACAGCAGAUCUUUAUAGAAAAAUGUACUCACAUUUGAAGCAUGUUAAAAAACUGACCAUCCCUGAUGGUAAUGAAAGAAGCCUAAAUAACAGCAAUGAUGUGGUCCCUAUUACAAUAGCAUCCAAGCAAUUAUGAGAGCCAUGGCUCAGAAUUCCAGGGAGGAAGCACAUGCCUAUGUAUAGCCAAUGGCUAUGGAUGCCCCUAUCACCCUAUUGCAAAACAAGACAUUCACACACAUAAAGUGCUGUAUGAGCUUGAGAGGUGGCUCAGCGGCGUAGAGCACAUAUUAUAUAUUAAAGCUCUUUUGGAGGUAUAGAACUCAAUUCCCCACACCCACAUGUUUGGCUUACAAAUCCCUUGUAAUUCCUGUUUCAGAGUACCAACAUCCUCUCUGGCCUUCUUGGAACCACAGACAUAUCCACACUCACACAUACAACUAAAAGUAGCAUCUUUUAGAAAACAUUACAUUUAAACCUGAGCUUGGAGGUGCGCACACACCUGUCAUUCCAGCACUCAAGGGGUUAAGGCAGGAUAAUUGCACAUUUAAGUCUAGUCUGGGCUAAAUAGCAAAACCCUGUCCCACACAAACACAAAUAUUAUCGUAUUGGUUAAGAAGAAAAAUAUCAACAAUAUGGACUGCAGGUUGUCAGGAAAUGGCUGAGUCUUGUCUAGAGGAAUGCACAAAUAACAACUUUAAUCAAGCUUUAAUCAUCUCUUUCCUCUUUCCUUCCUCUCCCAAUUUUUUUUGUUUUUGUUUUUGUUUUGAUUUUCCUAUCUGAGACAGGCUCUCAUGGUAUAGCCCAAGAUGGCCCGCAGAGUUGUAAUCCUGCUGGAACAGCCUCCAAGUGCUAAGAUUAUAAGGACACUCCACCAUGUCUAGACCUCUUUCCUUUUUCUGUCUUUUCAGUGUCCCUAGAGUAUUAUUGUACAGGCAAUAAAAGUAUCCAUGAAUUUGCACCAACUAACACUUUAUAGAAGUGAAUUUCAUACAUGCUUUGGAUGCCAAUGACUUUAUACAGGCAUGGGUGUGGAGCAUGUAAAUGAAUGCAUGAACAGAUUUCUAUAUGCAGAUAGAUUUACCUACAUGUAUAAAGAUGGUAAGUAGAUGCUAGGUAAAUAGAUACUUAUUUACACACAUAAACACAGAUGAUACACUCUGUUUAUAGUACACUUAUGUGUCUACACACAUUGAGAUACAUAGAUGGUAAAUACAUCUAUAUUCACAGAGAGGUAGAAUAAAUAGGCAGGAUUUAUUUAUAUGUAGACAUAUAUAAUUAUAUAGAUCAGUAAUUAGCAAGGAAAGCAAAGAGAUAAUUUGCAGAUGGUACACAAAGAGAAGUCAACUUUCUGCAUGUGUGUCAGGUAAGUUUUCUGUCUAGGUCUCCUGCAUUGCCAUAAUGAAUUCUUAAGAAGGGAUGCUUUAUUGCUGUUGAAGGUGAAGAAGCUGAGAGCUCCAGCCACCUGGGUUUACUCUACAAAGUAAUUCUCGAGGAGGAAAGCAUCACUUGGGCUGUGGAUGUAGCUCUAUCAGACUAGUUGCUUACACAACAUGCAUAGAGCCCUAGGUCUCUAGCAGUGCUGCAUCAACUGGAUGUGGUGGCGCACGUUUAAAACGUUAGUGCUAAGAAAGUGGAGGCAAGAAGAUCAGAAGUCCAAAGCCACCCUCAGCUACACAGUGAGAUUAAUGUUAUCGUGGGCUACAGGAGACCCUGCCUGAGGAAACAAAAAAGAAAGAAAGAAAGGAAAGCUACAUCAAACUUUAUCUUUAAAAAAAGAAAAGAUAAAGAAACAGAGAAGUGAAGGAGGGAGGGAAGGAAAUCAAGCAAGAAAAGAAGGAAGGAAAUGAGGAAUUGAGGGAGGGAAGAAAGGAGGGAUAGAGGGAAGGAAGGAAGGCAGGCAUACAUGCAUGUACCACUUGCUCAAUAGGAAAUUGAACCUGACCUUUCUCAUCUAAAGUCGAACAAAGUCAUCACCCACCUACGGGAACUUCAUCCUCAGCUGAACAUUUGCUUUCUCUCUGGCCCCUCUCAGAGACUCAGGGUUUCCACGUCCAAGUGAGCCUGAUACUCUGCCAGCUUCCUGCAUGGCUGAAUUAUACAGACAUGAUGGCCCCACCGUGUUCCGGCUGAGAAUCGCAGGUAAUGUCCUGCUCCCACUUGCCUGGCAUGCGACACUUCAGAAGGAAGAGACUCAGCCUGCAGAGGUCCCAGCUUUGUUUUCAGCACAUAAAAUAUCUGAAGAGACACACUGGGAACUCGCAGAAGUUUCCAGGGAAUUAUUUCAUUCCACUGACAAAAAUAUUUCCGUUUGGAAGCAAGCUAGCCUGUGCGUUGUGAGCUACAUGUUACAAAAGCAGAUCUUUCUCAUAUUAAAAAUAAACAUGGCAGCUGGCUAUCCCCCUUCA